AUGGGGGCCGCGCGCGACGAGGCCGGCCUAGCCGCCGCCUCCUCCUCGCACACGCGCCCCCGUCCCUCGUCCUCCCGCAUCCCAGCCCCCGCUCGCCCCCGACCUCUCCCUCCCUCGCACCUCCCUCGCACCUCGCCGGCCCGCCCACGUCGCCGCCGCCGAUGCCCCUCGGAUCCCACCGCGGUGGACCUUCUCCUCGUCUCCCUCGCUCCCGUCCCCCCUCUCCUUCCCUCGGAGCCCCAGCAGAGGGAGGACGAGGAGCACAACGACGACGAUGGCGGGGAACAGCAGCAGGCAGCAGCAGGUCGCGAGCGACGAGCAGCAGCGGAGGGAGGACGAGGAGCACGACGGCGGCGGUGGCAGAGAGUGGUGUACAGCGCCGCCAGGGCCGUGCUGGAGCGGCUGAUGCGUCGGCCGCAUCCGCCGAGGAGCCGGCUGCUAGCCCUGGCCCGUCUCCUCCUCCCUCGGGAUUUGAUCCAGACAGGUCCACCGGGCCCUUCGGGGUUCCACGGUUGCACGGGCCAGCUCGGCUGCGACGGACGCUGCUGCCGCCGGCCUCGGCCGCCGCGCGACCGUGUGGAUGGCGCUCGCCGUGUCCCUAUCCGCGCCCGCCUACUACACGGCGCCGCCCCCAUUGUCGGCGCUCACGGAGGAGAACCUGCUGUUCCUGGAGGCGUGGCAUGUGGUCGACCACGGCUACUAUUACAAGUCCUUCAACGGGCAGAGCUGGUUCAGAUGCGGCGAUUAAGAAGAUGCUUGCAACAUUGGAUGAUCCGUUCACUCGGUUACUGGAACCCGAGAAAUUCAAAAGUUCGCGGUAAGUCUGGCACGCAAGGUGCCCUCAUGGGUGUAGGUUUAUCCAUCGGCUAUCCAUUGGCGCCUAAUGGAUCAACUACAAGGCUAUCUGUAAUGUCAGCUGCCCCACGGGGUCCUGCAGAAAAGGCGGGCAUCGUGUCUGGAGACGUUAUUUUGGCAAUUGACGAUGCAAGUGCGCAAGACAUCUGGGUCCUGAGAAGCUCAGUAGAUUUGACUAUUCUCAGUGGAGCUGAUACCAGACAUUUUGUUUUGAAGAGAGAAAGAUAUACUUUAAACCCGGUAAUGUCAAGGAUGUGUGAGAUUCCAGGUUCAGAGGACAGCUCAGAGAUCGGUUACAUCAAAUUAACAACAUUUAACCAAAAUGCUGCAGGAUCCGUGAAGGAAGCCAUUAAGAAAUUAAGGGAGAACAAUGUAAAGCCCUUCGUGUUGGAUCUGCGGAAUAACAGCGGUGGCCUUUUUCCUGAAGGGAUUGAGAUUGCGAAGAUUUGGUAA
RNAcentral lists this ribosomal RNA (1308 nucleotides) under Triticum aestivum (bread wheat). Its description in RNAcentral is "partial small subunit ribosomal RNA". Lineage: Eukaryota; Viridiplantae; Streptophyta; Magnoliopsida; Poales; Poaceae. The record is from RNAcentral.